GAAAAGGGGAAGCCAGAUCUCUGUUCCAAAUUUCAAAACUCUAAUCCUAAAAAGAAACAAUGGUAAUGACCCAAAUUUAGAAUUAGAGAAAAGAGAAACAAAUAAGAAUAGAAUCAAAUACAAUCCUAGGCAAGGAGUAAUCAACUUAUUCAGAAGACAUUUUAAGAAGAAGAUAAUUGAAUGUGUUGUAUAAAACAGUUACAGUUACAGUAAGUCAAAGCUCACUACAUGUGAAAACACGAGAAGGUGAUUCUUAAUACCAGCCACUGUAC
RNAcentral lists this unclassified non-coding RNA (272 nucleotides) under Hevea brasiliensis (rubber tree). Lineage: Eukaryota; Viridiplantae; Streptophyta; Magnoliopsida; Malpighiales; Euphorbiaceae. The record is from RNAcentral.